This 434-nucleotide long non-coding RNA is filed under the name Cyanistes caeruleus (blue tit). Its description in RNAcentral is "lncRNA (ENSCCEG00000000925.1)". The record is from RNAcentral. Lineage: Eukaryota; Metazoa; Chordata; Aves; Passeriformes; Paridae.
UACUUCAGACUUUAACUGGAAAUCAGUGAAAAGAAAACAGUCUGUAUUAAGAAGCCAUAUCUGGAUAAACUCAAACAGAUCCCAAGACAGAGCAGAAGGUCCUUAUUGGCUGUCCCCUGCUGACAACAGACAGAUCUUUUGGUGAUACCUGCACCAUCAGAAGCCUGGCACCAGCCUUAUGACUUGGCAGAUCAUGAGAUGAGCCAGAGAAACCCUCUGGAAAUCUUGGAUUCCUUCGCUGCUUAGCAAAGCCAGCAAAGUUAUUUUUUAGCCAUCAGAGACCAGGAAGGACAGAAGUCUGCCAAGAAACCCCUGUUAUGCUGCAUACCAGGCUGCAAAAUAGCUGUUUAAUAGGGAUGAACAAGGGCUGAUUGCAACAGCUUAUCGAUAUUACAGCUAAAUCCACUAACCACCAAGGUAUUCUUCUUACUUAU